GAUGAACGCUGGCGGCGUGCCUAAUACAUGCAAGUCGAGCGAACGGACGAGAAGCUUGCUUCUCUGAUGUUAGCGGCGGACGGGUGAGUAACACGUGGAUAACCUACCUAUAAGACUGGGAUAACUUCGGGAAACCGGAGCUAAUACCGGAUAAUAUUUUGUACCGCAUGGUUCAAAAGUGAAAGACGGUCUUGCUGUCACUUAUAGAUGGAUCCGCGCUGCAUUAGCUAGUUGGUAAGGUAACGGCUUACCAAGGCAACGAUGCAUAGCCGACCUGAGAGGGUGAUCGGCCACACUGGAACUGAGACACGGUCCAGACUCCUACGGGAGGCAGCAGUAGGGAAUCUUCCGCAAUGGGCGAAAGCCUGACGGAGCAACGCCGCGUGAGUGAUGAAGGUCUUCGGAUCGUAAAACUCUGUUAUUAGGGAAGAACAUAUGUGUAAGUAACUGUGCACAUCUUGACGGUACCUAAUCAGAAAGCCACGGCUAACUACGUG
Molecule: ribosomal RNA, 497 nt
Filed under: uncultured bacterium
Lineage: Bacteria
Description: partial 16S ribosomal RNA
Rfam family: Bacterial small subunit ribosomal RNA
Source: RNAcentral